AGAAUCAUUCACAAUGGGGGAAACCCUGAUGGUGCGACGCCGCGUGGAGGAUAAGGUCUUCGGAUUGUAGACUCCUGUCAUGUGAGAGCAAGGCUUCUGUGUUAAUAGCAUAGGGGUUUGAUAGUAUCACAAGAGGAAGAGACGGCUAACUCUGUGCCAGCAGCCGCGGUAAUACAGAGGUCUCAAGCGUUGUUCGGAAUCACUGGGCGUAAAGGGUGCGUAGGCGGCUUGGUAAGUCAGAUGUGAAAGCUCAGGGCUCAACCCUGAAAUUGCAUCCGAUACUGCCAGGCUAGAGAACUGGAGAGGUGUCUAGAAUUCUCGGUGUAGCAGUGAAAUGCGUAGAUAUCGAGAGGAAUACCAAUGGCGAAGGCAGGACACUGGACAGUUUCUGACGCUGAGGCACGAAGGCUAGGGUAGCGAAC
Molecule: ribosomal RNA, 422 nt
Filed under: uncultured bacterium
Lineage: Bacteria
Description: bacterial SSU rRNA
Rfam family: Bacterial small subunit ribosomal RNA
Source: RNAcentral